RNAcentral lists this ribosomal RNA (482 nucleotides) under uncultured bacterium. RNAcentral describes it as "bacterial SSU rRNA". It matches the Rfam family "Bacterial small subunit ribosomal RNA", at positions 17 to 518 of the family's 1533-position model. The record is from RNAcentral.
UCCUGGCUUAGGACGAACGCUGGCGGCGUGCUUCAUACAUGCAAGUCGAACGAGAAAUCAUCUUCGGAUGGUGGAAAGUGGCGGACGGGUGAGUAAUAUGUAGAGAAUCUGCCCUAGAGAGUGGGACAACAGAGGGAAACUUCUGCUAAUACCGCAUAUGAGCGUAGCUGAGAUGCUAUUCUUGAAAACUCCGGUGCUCUAGGAUGAGUCUGCAUCUGAUUAGCUAGUUGGGGGUGUAAUGGACCACCAAGGCGACGAUCAGUAGCUGGUUUGAGAGGAUGAUCAGCCACAAUGGGACUGAGACACGGCCCAUACUCCUACGGGAGGCAGCAGUAGGGAAUUUUGCGCAAUGGGCGAAAGCCUGAACCGCAGCAACGCCGCGUGAUUGAAGAAGCCCUUCGGGGUGUAAAGAUCUGUCAGUGGGGACGAAACUUGACGGUACCCACAGAGGAAGCACCGGCUAACUCCGUGCCAGCCGCAGC